UACGGAAGGCAGCAGUGGGGAAUAUUGCACAAUGGGCGCAAGCCUGAUGCAGCCAUGCCGCGUGUAUGAAGAAGGCCUUCGGGUUGUAAAGUACUUUCAGUCGUGAGGAAGGUGUUAAGGUUAAUAACCUUAGCAAUUGACGUUAGCGACAGAAGAAGCACCGGCUAACUCCGUGCCAGCAGCCGCGGUAAUACGGAGGGUGCGAGCGUUAAUCGGAAUUACUGGGCGUAAAGGGCACGCAGGCGGUUAAUUAAGUUGGAUGUGAAAUCCCCGGGCUUAACCUGGGAAUGGCAUUCAAGACUGGUUAGCUAGAGUCUUGUAGAGGGGGUAGAAUUCCAUGUGUAGCGGUGAAAUGCGUAGAGAUGUGAGGAUACCGGUGCGAAGCGGCCCCUGGACAAGACUGACGCUCAUGUGCGAAAGCGUGGGGAGCAAACAGGAUUAGAUACC
Molecule: ribosomal RNA, 447 nt
Filed under: uncultured bacterium
Lineage: Bacteria
Description: bacterial SSU rRNA
Rfam family: Bacterial small subunit ribosomal RNA
Source: RNAcentral